CAGCCGCCGCGGUAAUACGUAGGUGGCAAGCGUUGUCCGGAAUUAUUGGGCGUAAAGCGCGCGCAGGCGGUUUCUUAAGUCUGAUGUGAAAGCCCCCGGCUUAACCGGGGAGGGUCAUUGGAAACUGGGAGACUUAGAGUGCAGAAGAGGAGAGUGGAAUUCCAUGUGUAGCGGUGAAAUGCGUAGAUAUAUGGAGGAACACCAGUGGCGAAGGCGACUCUCUGGUCUGUAACUGACGCUGAGGCGCGAAAGCGUGGGGAGCAAACAGGAUUAGAGACCCCAGUAGUCCCUGUCUCUUAUA
This 301-nucleotide ribosomal RNA is filed under the name uncultured bacterium. RNAcentral's name for it is "partial 16S ribosomal RNA". It matches the Rfam family "Bacterial small subunit ribosomal RNA", at positions 509 to 808 of the family's 1533-position model. The record is from RNAcentral.